Molecule: ribosomal RNA, 253 nt
Filed under: uncultured bacterium
Lineage: Bacteria
Description: partial 16S ribosomal RNA
Rfam family: Bacterial small subunit ribosomal RNA
Source: RNAcentral
UACGUAGGGGGCAAGCGUUGUCCGGAAUUAUUGGGCGUAAAGCGCGCGCAGGCGGUUUUGUAAGUCUGUCGUGAAAUCCCCGGGCUCAACCUGGGAAUUGCGAUGGAGACUGCAAGGCUAGAAUCUGGCAGAGGGGGGUAGAAUUCCACGUGUAGCAGUGAAAUGCGUAGAGAUGUGGAGGAACACCGAUGGCGAAGGCAGCCCCCUGGGUCAAGAUUGACGCUCAUGCACGAAAGCGUGGGGAGCAAACAGG